This 468-nucleotide ribosomal RNA is filed under the name uncultured bacterium. RNAcentral's name for it is "bacterial SSU rRNA". It matches the Rfam family "Bacterial small subunit ribosomal RNA", at positions 328 to 792 of the family's 1533-position model. The record is from RNAcentral.
GCACCAGACUCCUACGGGAGGCAGCAGUGAGGAAUAUUGGUCAAUGGGCUUACGCCUGAACCAGCCAAGUCGCGUGAGGGAAGACUGCCCUAUGGGUUGUAAACCUCUUUUGUCAGGGAGCAAUUGGCGCUACGUGUAGCGUUAUCGAGAGUACCUGAAGAAAAAGCAUCGGCUAACUCCGUGCCAGCAGCCGCGGUAAUACGGAGGAUGCGAGCGUUAUCCGGAUUUAUUGGGUUUAAAGGGUGCGUAGGUGGUUAAUUAAGUCAGCGGUGAAAGUUUGUGGCUCAACCAUAAAAUUGCCGUUGAAACUGGUUGACUUGAGUAUAUGUGAGGUAGGCGGAAUGCGUGGUGUAGCGGUGAAAUGCAUAGAUAUCGCGCAGAACUCCGAUUGCGAAGGCAGCAUGCCGGCUCCACACUGACGCUGAGGCACGAAAGCGUGGGUAUCGAACAGGAUUAGAUACCCUCGUA